This 460-nucleotide ribosomal RNA is filed under the name Anophryoides haemophila. RNAcentral's name for it is "partial Bacterial small subunit ribosomal RNA". It matches the Rfam family "Bacterial small subunit ribosomal RNA", at positions 202 to 662 of the family's 1533-position model. The record is from RNAcentral. Lineage: Eukaryota; Ciliophora; Oligohymenophorea; Philasterida; Glauconematidae.
UAAAGAUUUUUUGGUCAAGGAUGGGGUUGCGUAGCAUUAGCUAGUUGGCGGGGUAACGGCCCACCAAGGCGACGAUGCUUAGGGGAGCUGAGAGGCUGGUCCCCCACACGGGCACUGAGAUACGGGCCCGACUCCUACGGGAGGCAGCAGUAGGGAAUAUUGGGCAAUGGGAGCAAUCCUGACCCAGCCAUGCCGCGUGCAGGAUGAAGGCUUUCUGAGUCGUAAACUGCUUUUGCCAGGGAAGAAUAAGGCCCAUGCGUGGGUCGACGACGGUACCUGGUGAAUAAGCACCGGCUAACUCCGUGCCAGCAGCCGCGGUAAUACGGAGGGAGCUAGCGUUAUUCGGAAUUACUGGGCGUAAAGCGCACGUAGGCGGCGAUUUAAGUCAGAGGUGAAAGCCCGGGGCUCAACCCCGGAACUGCCUUUGAGACUGGAUUGCUAGAAUCUUGGAGAGGCGAGC